Molecule: long non-coding RNA, 517 nt
Filed under: Oreochromis niloticus (Nile tilapia)
Lineage: Eukaryota; Metazoa; Chordata; Actinopteri; Cichliformes; Cichlidae
Description: lncRNA (ENSONIG00000038470.1)
Source: RNAcentral
AUGAAUAAGGCUACGUCCACACGUACCAGCGUAUUUUUGAAAACGCUGAUUUUUCUAUGCGUUUGCACCUUUUGUCCACACGUAAUUUAUGUCUGGCCGUACAUUGUGUUUGUAUUUCCAGGCACAUUUCACGAAGCAGAACGCAGUCUUCAGAGAUAUCCACGUGAACGCUGUGAUACGUCUGACCUUCAGUCCGAAGAAGAAACCCAGACCAGUCUUAAAAGAAAGCACAAACCAAAUCCCCUGUACACAUAUACGGACUCAGAGGAUGAGCAACCUACAAAAAAACUGUUUCCCCAGGCCCCUCGAGUGAAAAUACCAGCCCUCAUCACUCCAGUCUGCCCCCCAGCCCACUGAUAGCAACCAUCAUAAUGCCACACCCAGCUUCCGGCACCUUUCGCCACUCCGGCACAAACCGACACAGCUUUGCGAUCUCGCCAGCAUGCAGAGUCUGAUGUCUUCCCUAUAGAUGGUAUGCUUUUAAAAAAGCUUUAAAGCUGCAUCACAAUGUCAUUGU